RNAcentral lists this ribosomal RNA (1401 nucleotides) under uncultured bacterium. RNAcentral's name for it is "16S ribosomal RNA". It matches the Rfam family "Bacterial small subunit ribosomal RNA". The record is from RNAcentral.
AGAGUUUGAUCCUGGCUCAGGAUGAACGCUAGCGACAGGCUUAACACAUGCAAGUCGAGGGGCAGCGGGGGCGUAGCAAUAUGCCUGCCGGCGACCGGCGCACGGGUGAGUAACACGUAUGUAACCUGCCCUAUGCAGGGGGAUAACCCGGAGAAAUCCGGCCUAAUACCGCGUAACACCUUAGGGGAGCAUUCUCUUGAGGUUAAAGGAGAGAUCCGGCAUAGGAUGGACAUGCGUCGCAUUAGGUAGACGGCGGGGUAACGGCCCACCGUGCCGACGAUGCGUAGGGGUUCUGAGAGGAAGGCCCCCCACACUGGUACUGAGACACGGACCAGACUCCUACGGGAGGCAGCAGUGAGGAAUAUUGGUCAAUGGCCGAGAGGCUGAACCAGCCAAGUCGCGUGAGGGAAGAAUGUCCUAAGGAUUGUAAACCUCUUUUGUCGGGGAGCAAAAAGGCUCUGCGGAGUCGUAUUGAGAGUACCCGAAGAAAAAGCAUCGGCUAACUCCGUGCCAGCAGCCGCGGUAAUACGGAGGAUGCGAGCGUUAUCCGGAUUUAUUGGGUUUAAAGGGUGCGCAGGCGGCGUGUCAAGCAAGCGGUAAAAUAGCGGGGCUCAACCCCGUCGAGCCGUUUGAACUGGCGCGCUUGAGUUCAGGCGAGGUAGGCGGAAUUCGUGGUGUAGCGGUGAAAUGCAUAGAUAUCACGAAGAACUCCGAUUGCGAAGGCAGCUUACCAGUCUGCGACUGACGCUCAGGCACGAAAGUGUGGGUAUCGAACAGGAUUAGAUACCCUGGUAGUCCACACAGUAAACGAUGAGCGCUAGGUGUCCGGGUCGCAUGAGACUUGGGUGCCCGAGAGAAAGCGUUAAGCGCUCCACCUGGGGAGUACGCCGGCAACGGUGAAACUCAAAGGAAUUGACGGGGGCCCGCACAAGCGGAGGAACAUGUGGUUUAAUUCGAUGAUACGCGAGGAACCUUACCCGGGCUCAAACGACUCAGGAAUAUAUUGGAAACGAUGUAGCCAGCAAUGGUCUGAGUCGAGGUGCUGCAUGGUUGUCGUCAGCUCGUGCCGUGAGGUGUCGGCUUAAGUGCCAUAACGAGCGCAACCCCUACCGCCAGUUGCCAACGGGUAAAGCCGGGAACUCUGGCGGGACUGCCGGCGCAAGCUGCGAGGAAGGUGGGGAUGACGUCAAAUCAGCACGGCCCUUACGUCCGGGGCGACACACGUGUUACAAUGGCAGGUACAGCGGGAAGCCACCUGGUGACAGGGAGCGGAACCCGAAAGCCUGUCUCAGUUCGGAUUGGAGUCUGCAACUCGACUCCAUGAAGCUGGAUUCGCUAGUAAUCGCGCAUCAGCCAUGGCGCGGUGAAUACGUUCCCGGGCCUUGCACACACCGCCCGUCA